AUAUAUAUUAUUACAUAUAAUUAAAAUAUUAUUAUAUAUAAUUAUAUAUAUUUAUAAAUAUUUUUAAUAUUUUUAAUUAUAUUUGAGUUUUUCAAGCUUAAUUUGAGCGAAACUAGUAAUACACAAGCUCGGCUUGAAAUAAAUUUUGAAUUUUUUUUUAUCUGGUAAAGCUCGGUUUAUUUAAUUUCGAGUCAAACUCGAGCGAGCUA
RNAcentral lists this long non-coding RNA (209 nucleotides) under Ananas comosus (pineapple). RNAcentral describes it as "long non-coding RNA (ACOM_LNC016299)". The record is from RNAcentral. Lineage: Eukaryota; Viridiplantae; Streptophyta; Magnoliopsida; Poales; Bromeliaceae.